GGCCUAGAGAUCCCAAAGACCUAGGGUCAGUCAAGUGGCUGGCUGGGUGGGACUGAAGAGGGGCUAAAAGAAAUGAGGGUUCCCUGACUUUAAAAUCCACCCCUUAGGGCUCAGUUUGUUUAUGUGAUAAUUCCCAUCAAAACCUACAUGUGAUUGGUUUGAAAAACAAAACAGAAACAACAAAAAACCAUCUAAAUUGAGAGUUUGGAGGUUGAGUGUAUAAUUUAAUAAGCUUCAAAGUAGACUAGAUUCAACCCAUUCAUUCAAUCGUUACCUCAUACUCCAUAUAUCCUCCAAUGUUAGGUGCCACAGGGUAAGACAAUGAAUAAAAAUAUACAGUUCCCACUCUCAGGAAGCCAAAAUUAGGUCAGGGGAGACAGAAUCUACAUGCAAAGUUAAAUAACAAUGUCACAGACUGUAAGGGUGCAUUAACUUCCUCAUUACAUGAGUAAGCUUCAUAGUAAAAAGCCUUGGCAGUAAACGCCAUGAGUUCAGAAGAGAGUCGCCCUGGAGCAGCUGGAGUAGUCAGGGGAGGCUUCCAGGAGGAGGCCCCGAGCGGGGCGCGGCAGGAAGGCCUGGUGCCAGAAGGGACGACCCGCCAGGAAGGGGCGGACGCGGGUUGCCGGCGCAGGAGGAGGCGCGGAAGCUCGGGCCUCGCAGCCCCACGCCCACUCGGUCCAGGACCCGCCCUGAGCCUCCGCCCGUGUGCGUGCUGUUUCCGCGGCCUGGAAUAGUCCUCCUCUCCCCACCCAGCCAGUCCUGUGGGAUCUUAUUUCCCCCUCCUAGGAUAGAACCAAGCAAGGGGAUCCAACCAGUCCACCCUAAAGGAAUCAGUCCUGAACAUUCACUGGAAGGACUGAUGCUGAAGCUGAAACUCCAAUACUCUGGCCGCCUGAUGCGAAGAACCGACUGAUUGGAAAAGACCCUGAUGCUGGGAAAGACUGAGGGCAGGAAGCGAAGGGGACGACAGAGGAUGAGAUGGUUGGAUGGCAUCACCGACUCGAUGGGCAUGAGUUUGAGCAAGCUGCGGGAAUUGGUGAUGGACAGGGAGGCCUGGCAUGCUGCAGUCCAUGGGGUUGCAAAGAGUUGAACCUGUGCCCCUUAGAGUGAAAGCAGGGAGUCUUAACUACUGGACCGCCAGGAAGUCCCCAUAACUGUUCAAUAAAUCCCUUUCACAUGAAUUUUUGUUUUAGGAUUUGCUUCUGGGACAUCCCACCUGAGACUACAAAUCCUUGCAGCUACUUUUUACUGCGCAUGUGCGGUAGGGGCACUGUUGCCCGAGGCUACAGAUUAAGCUCUCACUUAAUUUGCACAAUAACCCUAUUGUUAUCACCGUUUCUCAGAAGAGACAAACAAAGGCCCAGAGAGGAGCAUGCAGAGAAUUAAGAUAAAUCCGGCACGUGCAGAUGUUGGUGACGAGCUGAUUGUUACGCACCAUCAGGGAGGAGUCAGUGUCCUUUUCUGGUUCUAGUCCUGGCGCCCCAAGAACAGAGCUGGACACGGGAUGCCAGCCUCUCCAAUGGGAUUCCGUGUUUCCUGCUGUGCUAACCUGCAUGCGCGGGUGAUACUUGAGGCUCCAGAGGCACACUGUGAGGGAAGAGAUGCUCCCUGCCCUUGAGGAGCUCUAAGCGUGAGAGACUGAGACCAGCGGGAAGAAGGAGGGAAGAGCGGCCCCUGCAGAUCCCACCCUGGAAACUCUGAGGGCCACACCCUGCCUAGACAUCCCUCUGACACAAUCCUUCAGCCUCACCCGAAUACACGCUCAGGUUGCUCCGAGGUCCCCUCUCUCACCCUCUCCUGCUGGAUCCGGAGGGAGCUGGGUCUCUAAUUCUGGGUGACCAAUAACAAUAAAAUGCAUGAAUGGCAACAGUGGAAAGAAUGACUAUUUAAUAGCUGAGCGUAAUGAGUGGACGAUGAGCCCUGGUUUCCCUAGCACUUGCUCCACAGAACAGAGAAGAGGAAAAAUAUUGUUGUUACUCCGAGAGCUAAUCACAGCCUCCACAUUCACCUCCUCACAAGACAGGAGGGCCAGUGGCCAAAUCAGAUGUGGCUUAAACAGAGCUGUGA
This is a long non-coding RNA of Bos taurus (domestic cattle), 2067 nucleotides long. The record is from Ensembl. NCBI's taxonomy places the organism in Eukaryota, Metazoa, Chordata, Mammalia, Artiodactyla, Bovidae.